UACGCUUCCUUAAGUGGGGGGCACAGUUGGAAACGACUGCUAAUACCGCAUAAUGUCUACGGACCAAAGGGGGCUUCGGCUCUCGCCUUUAGAUUGGCCCAAGUGGGAUUAGCUAGUUGGUGAGGUAAUGGCUCACCAAGGCGACGAUCCCUAGCUGGUUUGAGAGGAUGAUCAGCCACACUGGGACUGAGACACGGCCCAGACUCCUACGGGAGGCGGCAGUGGGGAAUAUUGCACAAUGGGCGCAAGCCUGAUGCAGCCAUGCCGCGUGUGUGAAGAAGGCCUUCGGGUUGUAAAGCACUUUCAGUCAGGAGGAAAGGUUAGUAGUUAAUACCUGCUAGCUGUGACGUUACUGACAGAAGAAGCACCGGCUAACUCCGUGCCAGCAGCCGCGGUAAUACGGAGGGUGCGAGCGUUAAUCGGAAUUACUGGGCGUAAAGCGUACGCAGGCGGUUUGUUAAGCGAGAUGUGAAAGCCCCGGGCUCAACCUGGGAACUGCAUUUCGAACUGGCAAACUAGAGUGUGAUAGAGGGUGGUAGAAUUUCAGGUGUAGCGGUGAAAUGCGUAGAGAUCUGAAGGAAUACCGAUGGCGAAGGCAGCCACCUGGGUCAACACUGACGCUCAUGCACGAAAGCGUGGGGAGCAAACGGGAUUAGAUACCCCGGUAGUCCACGCCGUAAACGAUGUCUACUAGAAGCUCGGAGCCUCGGUUCUGUUUUUCAAAGCUAACGCAUUAAGUAGACCGCCUGGGGAGUACGGCCGCAAGGUUAAAACUCAAUGAAUUUGACGGGGGGCCCGCACAAGCGGUGGAGCAAUGGUGGUUUAAUUCGAUGCAACGCGGAAGAACCUUAACCUACACUUUGACAUAUACAGAGAACUUUACCCAGAAGAUGGUUUGGGUGCCCUUCCGGGAACCUCUGGAUACAGGUGCUUGCAUGGGCCUGUCGUCAGCCUCCGGGUUGU
RNAcentral lists this ribosomal RNA (963 nucleotides) under uncultured Pseudoalteromonas sp. RNAcentral describes it as "bacterial SSU rRNA". It matches the Rfam family "Bacterial small subunit ribosomal RNA", at positions 123 to 1070 of the family's 1533-position model. Lineage: Bacteria; Pseudomonadati; Pseudomonadota; Gammaproteobacteria; Alteromonadales; Pseudoalteromonadaceae. The record is from RNAcentral.